Non-coding RNA from Acanthosepion pharaonis, 112 nucleotides. NCBI's taxonomy places the organism in Eukaryota, Metazoa, Mollusca, Cephalopoda, Sepiida, Sepiidae. The record is from the annotation of a GenBank genome assembly.
UACGGCCGCAUCACAUUGAAACACAGGUUCCUGUAAAAUCACCAAAGUUAAGCAACAUUGAACCUGAUCAGUACCAAGAUGGGUGACUACUUGGGAAUACCAGGUGCUGUAA